AAAGCGUGCGCAGGCGGUCUGUUAAGACCGAUGUGAAAUCCCCGGGCUUAACCUGGGAACUGCAUUGGUGACUGGCAGGCUAGAGUAUGGCAGAGGGGGGUAGAAUUCCACGUGUAGCAGUGAAAUGCGUAGAGAUGUGGAGGAAUACCGAUGGCGAAGGCAGCCCCCUGGGCCAAUACUGACGCUCAUGCACGAAAGCGUGGGGAGCAAACAGGAUUAGAUACCCCUGU
Molecule: ribosomal RNA, 230 nt
Filed under: uncultured bacterium
Lineage: Bacteria
Description: partial 16S ribosomal RNA
Rfam family: Bacterial small subunit ribosomal RNA
Source: RNAcentral